ACGAGAGGACCGUGUUGGACAGACCUCCGGUGCACCGGUUGUUCCGCCGAGGAGCACAGCCGGGUAGCCGCGUCUGGGCAGGAUAAGUGCUGAAAGCAUCUAAGCACGAAGCCGGCUCCGAGAUAAGAUCUCGCUGAGGGCCGUCGAAGACGACGACGUCGAUAGGCCGCAGGUGCAAGCGUGGUGACGCGCUCAGCCGAGCGGUACUAAUUGCCCGAGACGUUCCG
Molecule: ribosomal RNA, 227 nt
Filed under: Bacteroides sp.
Lineage: Bacteria; Pseudomonadati; Bacteroidota; Bacteroidia; Bacteroidales; Bacteroidaceae
Description: partial 23S ribosomal RNA
Rfam family: Bacterial large subunit ribosomal RNA
Source: RNAcentral